AACGAACGUUAGCGGCGCGCCUAACACAUGCAAGUCGAGCGAGAAAGGGGCAACCCCGGUAAAGCGGCGCACGGGUGAGUAACACGUAGGUAAUCUACCCUCGGGUGGAGGAUAACCUUCCGAAAGGAGGGCUAAUACUGCAUGAGACCACGACCUCGAAAGGGGAUGGGAUCAAAGCCGGCCACUGUACACAAGCUGGCGCCUGAGGAUGAACCUGC
This 218-nucleotide ribosomal RNA is filed under the name uncultured bacterium. Its description in RNAcentral is "partial 16S ribosomal RNA". It matches the Rfam family "Bacterial small subunit ribosomal RNA", at positions 29 to 234 of the family's 1533-position model. The record is from RNAcentral.